Molecule: ribosomal RNA, 467 nt
Filed under: uncultured bacterium
Lineage: Bacteria
Description: partial 16S ribosomal RNA
Rfam family: Bacterial small subunit ribosomal RNA
Source: RNAcentral
ACGAACGCUGGCGGCGUGCUUAACUCAUGCCAGUCGAACGGAAAGGCCCUGCUUUUGUGGGGUGCUCGAGUGGCGAACGGGUGAGUAACACGUGAGUAACCUGCCCUUGACUUUGGGAUAACUUCAGGAAACUGGGGCUAAUACCGGAUAGGAGCUCCUGCUGCAUGGUGGGGGUUGGAAAGUUUCGGCGGUUGGGGAUGGACUCGCGGCUUAUCAGCUUGUUGGUGGGGUAGUGGCUUACCAAGGCUUUGACGGGUAGCCGGCCUGAGAGGGUGACCGGCCACAUUGGGACUGAGAUACGGCCCAGACUCCUACGGGAGGCAGCAGUGGGGAAUAUUGCACAAUGGGCGGAAGCCUGAUGCAGCAACGCCGCGUGCGGGAUGACGGCCUUCGGGUUGUAAACCGCUUUCGCCUGUGACGAAGCGUGAGUGACGGUAAUGGGUAAAGAAGCACCGGCUAACUACGUG